UGGGGAAUAUUGGACAAUGGGCGAAAGCCUGAUCCAGCCAUGUCGCGUGUGUGAAGAAGGUCUUCGGAUUGUAAAGCACUUUAAGUUGGGAGGAAGGGUUGUAGAUUAAUACUCUGCAAUUUUGACGUUACCGACAGAAUAAGCACCGGCUAACUCUGUGCCAGCAGCCGCGGUAAUACAGAGGGUGCAAGCGUUAAUCGGAAUUACUGGGCGUAAAGCGCGCGUAGGUGGUUAGUUAAGUUGGAUGUGAAAUCCCCGGGCUCAACCUGGGAACUGCAUUCAAAACUGACUGACUAGAGUAUGGUAGAGGGUGGUGGAAUUUCCUGUGUAGCGGUGAAAUGCGUAGAUAUAGGAAGGAACACCAGUGGCGAAGGCGACCACCUGGACUGAUACUGACACUGAGGUGCGAAAGCGUGGGGAGCAAACA
RNAcentral lists this ribosomal RNA (427 nucleotides) under uncultured bacterium. RNAcentral describes it as "partial 16S ribosomal RNA". It matches the Rfam family "Bacterial small subunit ribosomal RNA", at positions 355 to 774 of the family's 1533-position model. The record is from RNAcentral.